This 323-nucleotide long non-coding RNA is filed under the name Hordeum vulgare. RNAcentral describes it as "long non-coding RNA (HVUL_LNC014763)". The record is from RNAcentral. Lineage: Eukaryota; Viridiplantae; Streptophyta; Magnoliopsida; Poales; Poaceae.
GCUGUGCGGGCACGGCGCCGGCGCCGUAGUGCUGCAGCAUGCGGAUGGCCGUGUUGUAGGCGCGGGCAAUGCCGUAGCAGCGCGCGGCGAGGUAGGCCGGGUCGUUCUGGGUCGCCGUCGGGAGGUCGCCCAUGAGCUCCCCGGCGAGCCGGAAAGCCUCGCCGAUCUGCGACACCACGUCGUCCAUCCCUCCCAGCUGGUCACCGUGCAGGGUCGCGAUGCCUUUGCCUUCACGACGGCCGGCGAGUAGCGGUGCAAACGGAGGACCGGCUGAGUGCGGUGCAAGGACGUGCAUGAAAUUGCGCUGAGAAUUUCGUGCGACG